AUGCACGUGCGGGGCCCCCUGCCCGUGGCCAAGAUCACCCAGGCUGAAGUGUCUGAGCACCUGAAGAUGUGCGAGCAGCGCGUGUCUCCUCUGCUGCCGCUGUCGAGUCCAUCAGCGAAGAGGAGGCCACUCGACUCGGGAAGAAGGACCCGGAACACGAGGUGGAGAAGUUCCUGGUGGCGAACACUCAGGAGCUCAGCAAAGACAAGUGGCUCUGUCCCCUCAGCGGAAAGAAGUUCAAGGCGCCGGAGUUCGUGCGGAAACACAUCCUCAACAAACACGGGGACAAGGUCUCCGCCGUCAGACAGGAAGUCGAGUUCUUCAACAACUUCCUGCUCGACCCCAAGAGACCCGCCCUCCCCGAGAACAAGCCCGUCCCCCCUCCAGCUCCUCCGGCUGCGAUGCAGGCGUUUCCCGGUCAGUCCCCACAGCAGCAGCAGCAGCAGCAGAGCGCCAUGGGAUACCCGCCCGGAGUGAGGCCGCCUCUGCCCGGGUUCCCUGGCGUGGCUCCGUAUCCAGCUCAGUUCGGAGCCGGACGAGGAAACUACGACUUCAGAGGAGGAGGAGGACCGCCGGGAUUUCAGAACAAACCCAGGAGCUCCAGGUCUGGGAGAGUCUCUGCAGUGUUUGGAUAUUUUAAUUUGCUUUAAUGAACGAACGUGAACAGGCUUUGGUUAUUUCAUUAUUAGGAGUCGACCCAUUAACUACUUUUAAUUAAGUUUUAGUUUAAUUUCAGUCACAGAAAUCUGCCUUUUGUCUAAAACUGGUGUGUUUCCAGGGGGAUGAGAGGCGACCCGCGAACCAUCAUCGAAUACCGAGACCUGGACGCCCCCGACGACCUCGACUUUUUUUAGACUUUCACUUCUUUUUUAAUCUUUUUUUUUAUUAUUAUUUUUAUUCCGAGAUUCCUUCCAUUUUGUUGUGUUUCGAGUGAAUGAACGAGUGAGUGGAUUUUGUCACGUUACAAUAAACAUCAUCUGGAGGAGCGCGACCUCUGUGUUUCCUUUCUAACAAACACUUUACUGUGAGCAGAGAAAUUAUAUCGUUAUAAUCGUGGUCAUCGCGCUAGAACAUAAUCACUAAAUCACCAGAAAACCACCAAUGGUCCCUCUUACCGUACUGCUGUGAAUAUAGUGUUACACCACAAGGGGGCCCCGCUCCCCUCAUCAACGCGAGCUUUUAGCAGAAUGAGUCAAUGACAAACUCUGCUGUCAUGGCAACUCCACACUUUGCCUGAAGUGAAUGCACCUCACUAUGCAGGGCUUCAUCAUACUUCACAUAUAACUCAAUUAAAUAAUAUAAUAAUAAUAUAAACCCAAAUUAAAAAUAUAUUGAGGAUGGUAAUGACAACUGGG
Molecule: long non-coding RNA, 1355 nt
Filed under: Neogobius melanostomus (round goby)
Lineage: Eukaryota; Metazoa; Chordata; Actinopteri; Gobiiformes; Gobiidae
Description: lncRNA (ENSNMLG00000003831.1)
Source: RNAcentral